This is a non-coding RNA of Wuchereria bancrofti, 92 nucleotides long. NCBI's taxonomy places the organism in Eukaryota, Metazoa, Nematoda, Chromadorea, Rhabditida, Onchocercidae. The record is from Rfam.
GUCUACGACCAUACCACGUUGAAAGCACGACAUCUCGUCCGAUCUGUCAAGUUAAGCAACGUUGAACCUGAGAAUCCCGGAUGUUGUAGACA